UACGGGGGGAGCAAGCGUUGUUCGGAUUUACUGGGCGUAAAGGGCGCGUAGGCGGCGUGACAAGUCACUUGUGAAAUCUCCGGGCUUAACUCGGAACGGUCAAGUGAUACUGUCGUGCUAGAGUACAGAAGGGGCAACUGGAAUUCUCGGUGUAGCGGUGAAAUGCGCAGAUAUCAGGAAGAACACCAAUGGCGAAGGCAGCUCUCUGGGACGGUACUGACGCUGAGACGCGAAAGCGUGGGGAGCGAACAGG
RNAcentral lists this ribosomal RNA (253 nucleotides) under uncultured bacterium. RNAcentral's name for it is "partial 16S ribosomal RNA". It matches the Rfam family "Bacterial small subunit ribosomal RNA", at positions 524 to 776 of the family's 1533-position model. The record is from RNAcentral.